UCCGGUUUGUCACCGGCAGUCUCAUUAGAGUGCCCAACUGAAUGUAGCAACUAAUGACAAGGGUUGCGCUCGUUGCGGGACUUAACCCAACACCUCACGGCACGAGCUGACGACAGCCAUGCACCACCUGUGAAAGUGCCCCGAGGGGAAGCCGUGUUUCCACGGCGGUCACUCACAUGUCAAGCCCAGGUAAGGUUCUUCGCGUUGCGUCGAAUUGAACCACAUGCUCCGCUGCUUGUGCGGGUCCCCGUCAAUUCCUUUGAGUUUUAAUCUUGCGACCGUACUCCCCAGGCGGGAUACUUACUCCGUUAGGUGCGGCACCGGCGGUAACCCGCCGACACUUAGUAUCCAUCGUUUAGGGCGUGGACUAC
This 371-nucleotide unclassified non-coding RNA is filed under the name uncultured bacterium. Its description in RNAcentral is "contains 16S-23S intergenic spacer region". The record is from RNAcentral.